Lepidothrix coronata (blue-crowned manakin) is the source of this 692-nucleotide long non-coding RNA. RefSeq lists it as uncharacterized. Lineage: Eukaryota; Metazoa; Chordata; Aves; Passeriformes; Pipridae. The record is from RefSeq and is a predicted model, not a curated record. The transcript has 5 exons.
AUAUAUAAUACUUAUUACUAUUGAAUUUCUAUUGUUUUUAAAACAUAAAAGGAGGUAGCUGGACAACAUGCCAGGCGCAUCAGUGUACCAAAUCCAAAGAAGAUUUUUUUUAAAUAGUAAGGUCAUUUAUUUAGGCAUUAGAUUAAGAGCCUAGAUUUUUCAAAUCAUCUUCACUCCAAUGUGAACAGGAAAUUUCCUCAUAUCAUCCUUCCUCAGGGUCAAGUUUUCUACUGAAGUAGGAAUAGGUUGGUAAGGAUCUCUGCAAGUUAUCUGGACUUACUGGGUGGAGUUUCUUUUGCAUCAGGUAUGCUCAGGUGUGGAAGCUGAGUCACAAGGCUGUGCUCAGAGCAAGCUGAGGAUCACAGACCUGUCAUCAGGCUGAGUGAUGGAAAGCAGCGCUGAGGUAAAUUGACAACUCGGAAUUAACUGGGUGCUGGCACAGCUCAGCCGGCGCUGCCGAUGCUGUCAAGGUGGAGAUUCGAGCUUUAUGUACAGUGCCUGCAGCCCUGCCAUGAUUUAUAGGAAUUGCAGCUCAAGUCUGAACCAAGAGGAAGCAAAAAUCUCCAAGCCAAAUGGCAGACUCUUAAAUUUGCUACAGCAGAGUCUUGACAUAUGGUUUGGUUUGCAAGGAGUUACAAAGCUCAGUGAAUGCCAGUGAAUUCAGCCAUUUAAUGCUGAAAUAACACCAGAUU